RNAcentral lists this ribosomal RNA (472 nucleotides) under uncultured bacterium. RNAcentral's name for it is "bacterial SSU rRNA". It matches the Rfam family "Bacterial small subunit ribosomal RNA", at positions 355 to 825 of the family's 1533-position model. The record is from RNAcentral.
UAAGGAAUAUUGGACAAUGGGGGCAACCCUGAUCCAGCCAUGCCGCGUGUGUGAAGAAGGCCCUCGGGUUGUAAAGCACUUUCAGCGAGGAAGAACGCCUAGCGGUUAAUACCCGCUAGGAAAGACAUCACUCGCAGAAGAAGCACCGGCUAACUCCGUGCCAGCAGCCGCGGUAAUACGGAGGGUGCAAGCGUUAAUCGGAAUUACUGGGCGUAAAGCGCGCGUAGGUGGCUUGAUAAGCCGGUUGUGAAAGCCCCGGGCUCAACCUGGGAACGGCAUCCGGAACUGUCAAGCUAGAGUGCAGGAGAGGAAGGUAGAAUUCCCGGUGUAGCGGUGAAAUGCGUAGAGAUCGGGAGGAAUACCAGUGGCGAAGGCGGCCUUCUGGACUGACACUGACACUGAGGUGCGAAAGCGUGGGUAGCAAACAGGAUUAGAUACCCACGUAGUCCCUGAGCGGGCUGGCAAGGCGCAU